RNAcentral lists this unclassified non-coding RNA (679 nucleotides) under uncultured marine bacterium. RNAcentral's name for it is "partial contains 16S ribosomal RNA, 16S-23S ribosomal RNA intergenic spacer, and 23S ribosomal RNA". The stretch from base 1 to 112 matches the Rfam family "Bacterial small subunit ribosomal RNA", at positions 1423 to 1533 of the family's 1533-position model. The record is from RNAcentral.
GAAGUCGUUACUCCAACCCUUGUGGAGGAGGACGCCGAAGGUGGGGCUAAUGACUGGGGUGAAGUCGUAACAAGGUAGCCGUACCGGAAGGUGCGGCUGGAUCACCUCCUAACAGGGAGACAACAAAAUGUAAAUAUUAAUUUUGUCACCUUAGGUCGAUCGGUAUCUCAGAUUCUUAUUUUUAAGAAUUUCAGUUUCUAAGUUUUUUCUAGGUCACACCCAUCAUUUUUUUUCCUGGGCCAUUAGCUCAGGUGGUUAGAGCGCACCCCUGAUAAGGGUGAGGUCCCCGGUUCAAGUCCAGGAUGGCCCAUAUCUCUAUGUUGGGGGGUAUAGCUCAGUUGGUAGAGCGCCUGCUUUGCAAGCAGGAUGUCAGCGGUUCGAGUCCGCUUACCUCCACUGAAUACCACCUCUUACAUAUUUUAAAAGGGGAGAAUUAUUUUGAGUCGUGUCCUUAUUUGCUCUGAGCGAAUCUAGCUUCCUAUUUUAUACAAUAAAUAAGAUGCUGGACUCAUUGAAUUUUAUUCAUUGUUUUCAGAGAACCUUGACAACUGCAUAGAUUAUUUUUGAAGACAAUAAGCAUCUUUAAUGAUGCAGAUUUAUUAUUUGUGCGAAUGCAUUAAAUAACAAUUCUAUUAAGCUGAUGCUUCAAUUAUUGAAGUUAUUGGUCAAGCUACAAAGG